Long non-coding RNA from Mustela erminea (ermine), 649 nucleotides. RefSeq lists it as uncharacterized. The transcript has 6 exons. NCBI's taxonomy places the organism in Eukaryota, Metazoa, Chordata, Mammalia, Carnivora, Mustelidae. The record is from RefSeq and is a predicted model, not a curated record.
AAGGGCGCAGUGGCGGCCCCGUGGGGGUUUGAGCCUAGCGCCUUUAUUCUCACACCCUGACUAAAAGAAGACUGAGCCAGAUUUCCAUGUACUAACACCAAGAAGUGGUCAAGAAGCAUACCGCACUGCUCCUGGAGUCAGAGGAACUUGAUCGCAUUUUCUCCAUGUGCAGCUGUAAGGAAAUCUGGUGUGUCAGAAGGAAGAGGUGAGCGCAGGCCUCUAGCUAUUGAUGCUACCUAAAGCAAGAUCCUGAGGAGGCUAUGGCCCAGAUCACGGGGUCCUGUGUCAGUGCUGUAAUUGGAAUGCCACGUCUGGAUCAUGGCUUUGUCUGGGAAGAAAUGAGAGCUAAUGAGAGAGAGAGAACGAGCAGCGAAAUGGAGUUCAGAAAAACCGCUGAAGAGAUGCCUGGAAGACUUCAUGAAAGCAAGCUUGACCAUUUUGCACCCUUUCUUAAAAAUGCAUGGAGAUGAUCCAAUUAGUUGGAGAGCCGAAUUUUUCUCCCCCCGCACGUGUAAGAAGAUGAACAGUAAGAAAACACUAGUUGGUGACUUUGCAGCUGAAUGUCAAGCAGAUUCCUCGAAAAGAAGGAGAUAAUAUUAUGGAUGAUGGGAGAAAGAGAGAGCAGCAGAGGGAGAAGCAGACUCCCCAC